AGGGUUGUAGCUCAGUGGUAGGGCAUCUGCUUCCAUACAGAAGGUCCCAGGUUCAAUCUUUGGCAUCUCCU
Molecule: non-coding RNA, 71 nt
Organism: Podarcis lilfordi (Lilford's wall lizard)
Lineage: Eukaryota; Metazoa; Chordata; Lepidosauria; Squamata; Lacertidae
Source: the annotation of a GenBank genome assembly